Molecule: unclassified non-coding RNA, 561 nt
Filed under: Hevea brasiliensis (rubber tree)
Lineage: Eukaryota; Viridiplantae; Streptophyta; Magnoliopsida; Malpighiales; Euphorbiaceae
Source: RNAcentral
GCCUAAGUAAGCCAUGGCAUAGGGCAAACUGAGAACACCUGCACCGAUCAUGGCUGUGACAGUGUGAAAAGUUGAGUACCACCAUUUGGCUCGGCGAGCGGGAUCGCCUUCCGUCCAUUUCUCGACAGACGACUGCUCUUCCUUGGAAAGGGGAGGAGAAGUUGAAACCAUUUUGGCAGCCAAAGACAACGCGGUCUUGAAGAUCCCCUCAACGUGGGAGUUCAGUGACAUGUAUUAGUGGCCUGGUGGCGCAAAUUUUUAUUGGAAUAAAGAUAUGAAAAGAAAAUUUUCUUUGGUUCAGUUUUGGGGCUCCCCCUGGAUCUUUCUAGUCCCAUCUCAGAGGAUUGCUCUUUCAGCAGUUACAGUAAUGCAAAGAAAAUGGGGAAUCUUUUUGCAUAGUUAAAGUGGCAUUAGAUCCGCCCACCAACAACUCGUCAAUGGGUUUGUGCCAUUUAAAAAAGAUUUAACUUUUAUAAUACACAUUUUAACUUCCUAAGCUAGUAAAGCAUGAAGAGACAACUUUCAAGCAAAAUGCAUAAAAGGGUUGUGAAUGCAGUCUAU